This 165-nucleotide microRNA precursor is filed under the name Oryza brachyantha (malo sina). RNAcentral's name for it is "MIR812 microRNA precursor family". It matches the Rfam family "MIR812 microRNA precursor family", at positions 27 to 191 of the family's 205-position model. The record is from Rfam by way of RNAcentral. Lineage: Eukaryota; Viridiplantae; Streptophyta; Magnoliopsida; Poales; Poaceae.
UAUAAUGUUUUGACUCUUCGUCUUAUUUAAAAUUUUUUACGAUUAAUACUUUUAUUUUUAUUAGAUGAUAAAACAUGAAUAGUACUUUAUGCUGACUAAUUUUUUAAAGUUUUUUAUAAUUUUUUUAAAUAAGACGAAUGAUCAAACGUUAGACAUGGAAAAACA